UACGUAGGGUGCAAGCGUUGUCCGGAAUUAUUGGGCGUAAAGAGCUCGUAGGCGGUUUGUCGCGUCGGCUGUGAAAACUCGGGGCUCAACCCCGAGCCUGCAGUCGAUACGGGCAAACUAGAGUGUGGUAGGGGAGACUGGAAUUCCUGGUGUAGCGGUGAAAUGCGCAGAUAUCAGGAGGAACACCGGCGGCGAAGGCGGGUCUCUGGGCCAUUACUGACACUGAGAAGCGAAAGCAUGGGGAGCGAACAGG
This 253-nucleotide ribosomal RNA is filed under the name uncultured bacterium. RNAcentral describes it as "partial 16S ribosomal RNA". It matches the Rfam family "Bacterial small subunit ribosomal RNA", at positions 524 to 776 of the family's 1533-position model. The record is from RNAcentral.